CAAACUCCCCAAAUCAUGGGAUUUCUUGAUGAUAAUUGUCUGAAGGCCAAGUUGACGGUCAAGAUUUGGUUCAAAUGGUUUAUUCAGUUCGGAGUUCAUCCUUUCAACCAGUAUCUACUCGGUCGUCAUGGAAACAGCCAAGAUGCUGGGUACAACAAGGGAAAGUGAGAGAAGAGCCGGUUUUCUUCAAAAGCUUGGGAUUCUGUGCUUCUUUCCUUUUUACAAAUGCAAUUUAGACAUUUGGACCUGCUGGCUGCUGAAAAUGUUCCCAUCUUUCACACCACUCACUACCAGCACUGGUCACAGAUAAAUAUUUUUAAUAGCUUAAAUAGGAAGUUGGUUUCUUUUUUUAAAACAAAUGAAAUAAUUCAAAUGAUGCUUAAUAGGAUUUAAGAGGUCCACAGAAAUUAAAAACAAAUCAUUGACAUUUAGAGGAG
RNAcentral lists this long non-coding RNA (437 nucleotides) under Sinocyclocheilus grahami. Its description in RNAcentral is "lncRNA (ENSSGRG00000020199.1)". Lineage: Eukaryota; Metazoa; Chordata; Actinopteri; Cypriniformes; Cyprinidae. The record is from RNAcentral.